UACGGAGGGUGCGAGCGUUGUCCGGAAUCACUGGGCGUAAAGGGCGCGUAGGCGGCGCGGGAAGUCAUCGGUGAAAGUUCAGGGCUCAACUCUGAAUCGGCCGGUGAUACUCUCGUGCUCGAGCACUGUAGAGGCAGGUGGAAUUCCGGGUGUAGCGGUGAAAUGCGCAGAUAUCAGGAGGAACACCAAUUGCGAAGGCAGCUCGCUGGGACGUUACUGACGCUGAGACGCGAAAGCGUGGGGAGCAAACAGG
Molecule: ribosomal RNA, 253 nt
Filed under: uncultured bacterium
Lineage: Bacteria
Description: partial 16S ribosomal RNA
Rfam family: Bacterial small subunit ribosomal RNA
Source: RNAcentral